AUUGAACGCUGGCGGCAGGCCUAACACAUGCAAGUCGAGCGGAUGAAGGGAGCUUGCUCCUGGAUUCAGCGGCGGACGGGUGAGUAAUGCCUAGGAAUCUGCCUGGUAGUGGGGGAUAACGUCCGGAAACGGGCGCUAAUACCGCAUACGUCCUGAGGGAGAAAGUGGGGGAUCUUCGGACCUCACGCUAUCAGAUGAGCCUAGGUCGGAUUAGCUAGUUGGUGGGGUAAAGGCCUACCAAGGCGACGAUCCGUAACUGGUCUGAGAGGAUGAUCAGUCAACCGGAAACGAAGAAAGGGCCCAACCCCUUAGGGAAGGCACCGUGGGGAAUAUUUGAACAAGGGCGAAAGCCUGAUCCAGCCAUGCCGCGUGUGUGAAGAAGGUCUUCGGAUUGUAAAGCACUUUAAGUUGGGAGGAAGGGCAGUAAGUUAAUACCUUGCUGUUUUGACGUUACCAACAGAAUAAGCACCGGCUAACUUCGUG
This 483-nucleotide ribosomal RNA is filed under the name uncultured bacterium. Its description in RNAcentral is "partial 16S ribosomal RNA". It matches the Rfam family "Bacterial small subunit ribosomal RNA", at positions 30 to 507 of the family's 1533-position model. The record is from RNAcentral.